UGGCGGACGGGUGAGUAACGCGUGGGUAACCUGCCCCAUACAGGGGGAUAACAGUUAGAAUGACUGCUAAUACCGCAUAAGCGCACGGGAACGCAUGUUUCUGUGUGAAAAACUGAGGUAGUAUAAGAUGGACCCGCGUCUGAUUAGCUAGUUGGUGGGGUAACGGCCUACCAAGGCGACGAUCAGUAGCCGGCCUGAGAGGGUGACCGGCCACAUUGGGACUGAGACACGGCCCAAACUCCUACGGAAGGCAGCAG
This 257-nucleotide ribosomal RNA is filed under the name uncultured bacterium. RNAcentral's name for it is "partial 16S ribosomal RNA". It matches the Rfam family "Bacterial small subunit ribosomal RNA", at positions 96 to 354 of the family's 1533-position model. The record is from RNAcentral.